UACGGGAGGCAGCAGUGGGGAAUAUUGCACAAUGGGCGGAAGCCUGAUGCAGCAACGCCGCGUGCGGGAUGACGGCCUUCGGGUUGUAAACCGCUUUCGCCUGUGACGAAGCGUGAGUGACGGUAAUGGGUAAAGAAGCACCGGCUAACUCCGUGCCAGCAGCCGCGGUAAU
Molecule: ribosomal RNA, 172 nt
Filed under: uncultured bacterium
Lineage: Bacteria
Description: partial 16S ribosomal RNA
Rfam family: Bacterial small subunit ribosomal RNA
Source: RNAcentral